RNAcentral lists this ribosomal RNA (917 nucleotides) under uncultured bacterium. RNAcentral describes it as "bacterial SSU rRNA". It matches the Rfam family "Bacterial small subunit ribosomal RNA", at positions 86 to 1003 of the family's 1533-position model. The record is from RNAcentral.
AGAUGACGAGUGGCGCACGGGUGCGUAACGCGUAUACAACUUACCUAUAACUAGAGAAUAGCCCCGUGAAAACGGGAUUAAUACUCUAUAGUACCACGAAAUGGCAUCGUUUUGUGGUUAAAGAUUUAUCGGUUAUAGAUGGGUAUGCGUCCCAUUAGUUUGUUGGUGAGGUAACGGCUCACCAAGACUACGAUGGGUAGGGGGCCUGAGAGGGUUGUCCCCCACACUGGUACUGAGACACGGACCAGACUCCUACGGGAGGCAGCAGUGAGGAAUAUUGGUCAAUGGACGCAAGUCUGAACCAGCCAUGCCGCGUGCAGGAAGAAGGCCCUACGGGUUGUAAACUGCUUUUAUAUGGGAAGAAACCCCCCGACGUGUCGGGGGCUGACGGUACCAUACGAAUAAGCACCGGCUAACUCCGUGCCAGCAGCCGCGGUAAUACGGAGGGUGCAAGCGUUAUCCGGAUUUAUUGGGUUUAAAGGGUGCGCAGGCGGGAUAGUAAGUCAGUGGUGAAAUCCAACAGCUCAACUGUUGAACUGCCAUUGAUACUGCUAUUCUUGAAUUUAGUUGAAGUGAACGGAAUGUAACAUGUAGCGGUGAAAUGCAUAGAUAUGUUACAGAACACCAAUUGCGAAGGCAGUUCACUAAGCUAAUAUUGACGCUCAGGCACGAAAGCGUGGGUAGCGAACAGGAUUAGAUACCCUGGUAGUCCACGCCGUAAACUAUGAUUACUCGGUGCUAGCGAUACACAGUUAGUGCCCAAGCGAAAGUGAUAAGUAAUCCACCUGGGGAGUACGAUCGCAAGGUUGAAACUCAAAGGAAUUGACGGGGGCCCGCACAAGCGGUGGAGCAUGUGGUUUAAUUCGAUGAUACGCGAGGAACCUUACCUGGGCUUAAAUGCAAAAUGACCGUCUUGG